RNAcentral lists this transfer RNA (73 nucleotides) under Vicugna pacos (alpaca). RNAcentral describes it as "tRNA-Ala (AGC) (tRNA-Ala-AGC-461-1)". It matches the Rfam family "tRNA". From Rfam's summary of the family: Transfer RNA (tRNA) molecules are approximately 80 nucleotides in length. Their secondary structure includes four short double-helical elements and three loops (D, anti-codon, and T loops). Further hydrogen bonds mediate the characteristic L-shaped molecular structure. tRNAs have two regions of fundamental functional importance: the anti-codon, which is responsible for specific mRNA codon recognition, and the 3' end, to which the tRNAs corresponding amino acid is attached (by aminoacyl-tRNA synthetases). tRNAs cope with the degeneracy of the genetic code in two manners: having more than one tRNA (with a specific anti-codon) for a particular amino acid; and 'wobble' base-pairing, i.e. permitting non-standard base-pairing at the 3rd anti-codon position. The record is from RNAcentral. Lineage: Eukaryota; Metazoa; Chordata; Mammalia; Artiodactyla; Camelidae.
GGAGGGUAUAACUCAGUGGUAGAGUGCGUGCUUAGCAUGCAUGAGGUCCUGGGUUCGAUCCCCAGUACCUCCA